Unclassified non-coding RNA from Neogale vison (American mink), 340 nucleotides. Its record names the gene 7SK. It matches the Rfam family "7SK RNA". Rfam says of the family: 7SK was discovered as an abundant small nuclear RNA in the mid-70s but a possible function has only recently been suggested. Two independent studies have found that 7SK RNA binds the CDK9/cyclin T complex (known as elongation factor P-TEFb). P-TEFb activates transcription by phosphorylating the C-terminal domain of RNA polymerase II. The record is from Ensembl. NCBI's taxonomy places the organism in Eukaryota, Metazoa, Chordata, Mammalia, Carnivora, Mustelidae.
GAAUGUGAGGAUAAUCCAUUGGCAACACGUCAUUUCCUUGAUCAACAUGAUUGAUGAGGCUUAUUUGACUGGCGAGGAAUGUUUCUUUCCUCCCUUACAGUUCCAUGUGCAUCCCUUCCAAAGCCACAUGCUCAGUCAAAGAAGAUGGAUGAUCUCCCUAGAUAGAAAAGGGCUGUUCUUUAGUCAAGGAUAUGGAGUGGUUGUGUUUCCACACCAGAACCUUUAUUCCAGUGGUUCUCAAACUUCAGCAUUCAUCAGAACCAUGGGUGGGGAUGGGGGGUGGAAGGAGUGGGUAUUAACCUAUACAUUGCAGGGCUCCACUCUAAGAGUUUCAUUCAGU